GAUCUGUGAUGAUGAAUUUUAAGGCUUGUUUCUCAAAACAUUCGCAGUGGCCGUCUAAGAUCUUUCGCCUUCGCCUGGCUUGAGAGAUAAUGCUGUUUUUAUCCUUCCUUGGAUGUCUGAGAUC
Solanum lycopersicum (tomato) is the source of this 124-nucleotide non-coding RNA. The record is from Rfam. NCBI's taxonomy places the organism in Eukaryota, Viridiplantae, Streptophyta, Magnoliopsida, Solanales, Solanaceae.